CCUACGGGGAGCAGCAGUGAGGAAUAUUGGUCAAUGGGCGGGAGCCUGAACCAGCCAAGUCGCGUGAGGGAAGACGGUCCUAUGGAUUGUAAACCUCUUUAGGCGGGGAGCAAUGCCGGGCACGCGUGCCCGGAGGGAGAGUACCCGCAGAAUAAGCAUCGGCUAACUCCGUGCCAGCAGCCGCGGUAAUACGGAGGAUGCGAGCGUUAUCCGGAUUUAGUGGGUGUAAAGGGUGCGUAGGCGGAUUUUUAAGUCAGCGGUAAAAUGUCCGGGCUCAACCCGGGCCGGCCGUUGAAACUGGGGAUCUUGAGUGGGCGAGAAGUAUGCGGAAUGCGUGGUGUAGCGGUGAAAUGCAUAGAUAUCACGCAGAACUCCGAUUGCGAAAGCAGCAUACCGGCGCCCGACUGACGCUGAGGCACGAAAGCGUGGGGAUCGAACAGGAUUAGAUACCCUUGUAGUC
RNAcentral lists this ribosomal RNA (460 nucleotides) under uncultured bacterium. RNAcentral describes it as "partial 16S ribosomal RNA". It matches the Rfam family "Bacterial small subunit ribosomal RNA", at positions 338 to 795 of the family's 1533-position model. The record is from RNAcentral.